GAUGAACGCUGGCGGCGUGCCUAAUACAUGCAAGUCGAGCGAACAGACGAUGAGCUUGCUCCUCUGACGUUAGCGGCGGACGGGUGAGUAACACGUGUAUAACCUACCUAUCAGACUGGGAUAACUUCGGGAAACCGGAGCUAAUACCGGAUAAUAUAUUGAACCGCAUGGUUCAAUAGUGAAAGACGGUUUUGCUGUCACUUAUAGAUGGAUCCGCGCCGCAUGAGCUAGUUGGUAAGGUAACGGCUUACCAAGGCAACGAUGCGUAGCCGACCUGAGAGGGUGGUAGGCCACACUGGAACUGAGACAGGGUCCAGACUCCUACGGGAGGCAGCAGUAGGGAAUCUUCCGCAAUGGGCGAAAGCUUGACGGAGCAACGCCGCGUGAGUGAUGAAGGUCUUCGGAUCGUAAAACUCUGCUAUUAGGGAAGAACAAAUGUGUAAGUAACUAUGCACGUCUUGACGGUACCUAAUCAGAAAGCCACGGCUAACUACGUG
Molecule: ribosomal RNA, 497 nt
Filed under: uncultured bacterium
Lineage: Bacteria
Description: partial 16S ribosomal RNA
Rfam family: Bacterial small subunit ribosomal RNA
Source: RNAcentral